Molecule: long non-coding RNA, 838 nt
Organism: Quercus lobata
Lineage: Eukaryota; Viridiplantae; Streptophyta; Magnoliopsida; Fagales; Fagaceae
Exons: 4
Source: RefSeq, a predicted model, not a curated record
UCUCCUUGCCCACGCCGAUUCUCCUUGCCCACCUGACCCACACUGUCAACAACCUCUCAACUUCCUCAACCUCUCAACUUCCUUCACAGUCGCCUCACCUGCAACGCCGCCUCCCUCGCCAAUCUUGGCAUCCCUUCACCUUCCAACCAAUUCGUCGAGCUCGCCGAAAUCGAUGUCCCUUCACCUUCACCUUCACCAAACUCGCCUUCAUUGAUUCAAGCUCCCCGUCCUCCAAUUCCGAUCAAGUACAACCGCCGCCAUUGUCAACGUCGAUAGCCGAUGAUGCCAUCACCGAUCUGAACACACUGCCGCCGAUCUAAACACCUCCACUCCUUCAUCAUCUCUUGUGGCCAUGGGGGAAUAGAAAGAGGCUUAAAUCUGUGAAAGUCAAAGACCAAAGCUUGGCCAACAAAUUAGACUUGUACGCUUAGCUUAAUCAUAGAAACUAUUAUCAAAGUGAAAGAGGAUCAUUGUCAAGAUCCUAAUGCAAUUUCUCUUACACAAGAGGAGAUCUCAAACUUGGUUUUUAAGAAGAAGUCUGGUAUUGUAAAAGGACUUGGCAUGAGACCUUCUUCUUCUCUAGUAACCACCAUCUCAUCUAGUUUCUUUGUAGAAUAUGAGAUAAUUGAGCUCUAAGAGGCAAGAGCGAGGGAUGAAGAGGAGCGAGCUAGGGAGCAAGAGGCGCGAGCUAAGCAAGAUGAAGUCCAAAAGAAUAUUCUUAACUUUUUGAGAAGUAAGGCUAUGAUGACGCUCUUACCUAUGGGGGUGGCUCAUCUUCAAGUUAAAAUACUUAUUGAUUUCUUAUUGGUGGCUUUUAGGGGAUUUACUUUUGGCAUUA